RNAcentral lists this ribosomal RNA (2901 nucleotides) under Klebsiella pneumoniae. RNAcentral describes it as "23S ribosomal RNA". It matches the Rfam family "Bacterial large subunit ribosomal RNA". Lineage: Bacteria; Pseudomonadati; Pseudomonadota; Gammaproteobacteria; Enterobacterales; Enterobacteriaceae. The record is from RNAcentral.
GGUUAAGCGACUAAGCGUACACGGUGGAUGCCCUGGCAGUCAGAGGCGAUGAAGGACGUGCUAAUCUGCGAAAAGCGUCGGUAAGGUGAUAUGAACCGUUAUAACCGGCGAUGUCCGAAUGGGGAAACCCAGUGCAAUUCGUUGCACUAUCGUUAACUGAAUACAUAGGUUAACGAGGCGAACCGGGGGAACUGAAACAUCUAAGUACCCCGAGGAAAAGAAAUCAACCGAGAUUCCCCCAGUAGCGGCGAGCGAACGGGGAGCAGCCCAGAGUCUGAAUCAGCUUGUGUGUUAGUGGAACGGUCUGGAAAGUCCGACGGUACAGGGUGAUAGUCCCGUACACCAAAAUGCACAGGCUGUGAACUCGAAGAGUAGGGCGGGACACGUGGUAUCCUGUCUGAAUAUGGGGGGACCAUCCUCCAAGGCUAAAUACUCCUGACUGACCGAUAGUGAACCAGUACCGUGAGGGAAAGGCGAAAAGAACCCCGGCGAGGGGAGUGAAAAAGAACCUGAAACCGUGUACGUACAAGCAGUGGGAGCACCUUCGGGUGUGACUGCGUACCUUUUGUAUAAUGGGUCAGCGACUUAUAUUCUGUAGCAAGGUUAACCGUAUAGGGGAGCCGCAGGGAAACCGAGUCUUAACUGGGCGUUAAGUUGCAGGGUAUAGACCCGAAACCCGGUGAUCUAGCCAUGGGCAGGUUGAAGGUUGGGUAACACUAACUGGAGGACCGAACCGACUAAUGUUGAAAAAUUAGCGGAUGACUUGUGGCUGGGGGUGAAAGGCCAAUCAAACCGGGAGAUAGCUGGUUCUCCCCGAAAGCUAUUUAGGUAGCGCCUCGUGAAUUCAUCUUCGGGGGUAGAGCACUGUUUCGGCUAGGGGGUCAUCCCGACUUACCAACCCGAUGCAAACUACGAAUACCGAAGAAUGUUAUCACGGGAGACACACGGCGGGUGCUAACGUCCGUCGUGAAGAGGGAAACAACCCAGACCGCCAGCUAAGGUCCCAAAGUCAUGGUUAAGUGGGAAACGAUGUGGGAAGGCACAGACAGCCAGGAUGUUGGCUUAGAAGCAGCCAUCAUUUAAAGAAAGCGUAAUAGCUCACUGGUCGAGUCGGCCUGCGCGGAAGAUGUAACGGGGCUAAACCAUGCACCGAAGCUGCGGCAGCGACACUAUGUGUUGUUGGGUAGGGGAGCGUUCUGUAAGCCUGCGAAGGUGACCUGUGAGGGUUGCUGGAGGUAUCAGAAGUGCGAAUGCUGACAUAAGUAACGAUAAAGCGGGUGAAAAGCCCGCUCGCCGGAAGACCAAGGGUUCCUGUCCAACGUUAAUCGGGGCAGGGUGAGUCGACCCCUAAGGCGAGGCCGAAAGGCGUAGUCGAUGGGAAACAGGUUAAUAUUCCUGUACUUGGUGUUACUGCGAAGGGGGGACGGAGAAGGCUAUGUUAGCCGGGCGACGGUUGUCCCGGUUUAAGCAUGUAGGCUGAUUGUCCAGGCAAAUCCGGAUAAUCAAGGCUGAGGUGUGAUGACGAGGCACUACGGUGCUGAAGUAACAAAUGCCCUGCUUCCAGGAAAAGCCUCUAAGCAUCAGGUAACAUUAAAUCGUACCCCAAACCGACACAGGUGGUCAGGUAGAGAAUACCAAGGCGCUUGAGAGAACUCGGGUGAAGGAACUAGGCAAAAUGGUGCCGUAACUUCGGGAGAAGGCACGCUGGUGUGUAGGUGAAGCCCCUGCGGGUGGAGCUGAGACCAGUCGAAGAUACCAGCUGGCUGCAACUGUUUAUUAAAAACACAGCACUGUGCAAACACGAAAGUGGACGUAUACGGUGUGACGCCUGCCCGGUGCCGGAAGGUUAAUUGAUGGGGUUAUCCGUAAGGAGAAGCUCUUGAUCGAAGCCCCGGUAAACGGCGGCCGUAACUAUAACGGUCCUAAGGUAGCGAAAUUCCUUGUCGGGUAAGUUCCGACCUGCACGAAUGGCGUAAUGAUGGCCAGGCUGUCUCCACCCGAGACUCAGUGAAAUUGAACUCGCUGUGAAGAUGCAGUGUACCCGCGGCAAGACGGAAAGACCCCGUGAACCUUUACUAUAGCUUGACACUGAACAUUGAGCCUUGAUGUGUAGGAUAGGUGGGAGGCUUUGAAGCGUGGACGCCAGUCUGCGUGGAGCCAACCUUGAAAUACCACCCUUUAAUGUUUGAUGUUCUAACGUUGGCCCCUUACCGAGGUUGCGGACAGUGUCUGGUGGGUAGUUUGACUGGGGCGGUCUCCUCCCAAAGCGUAACGGAGGAGCACGAAGGUUAGCUAAUCCUGGUCGGACAUCAGGAGGUUAGUGCAAUGGCAUAAGCUAGCUUGACUGCGAGCGUGACGGCGCGAGCAGGUGCGAAAGCAGGUCAUAGUGAUCCGGUGGUUCUGAAUGGAAGGGCCAUCGCUCAACGGAUAAAAGGUACUCCGGGGAUAACAGGCUGAUACCGCCCAAGAGUUCAUAUCGACGGCGGUGUUUGGCACCUCGAUGUCGGCUCAUCACAUCCUGGGGCUGAAGUAGGUCCCAAGGGUAUGGCUGUUCGCCAUUUAAAGUGGUACGCGAGCUGGGUUUAGAACGUCGUGAGACAGUUCGGUCCCUAUCUGCCGUGGGCGCUGGAGAAUUGAGGGGGCUGCUCCUAGUACGAGAGGACCGGAGUGGACGCAUCACUGGUGUUCGGGUUGUCAUGCCAAUGGCACUGCCCGGUAGCUAAAUGCGGAAGAGAUAAGUGCUGAAAGCAUCUAAGCACGAAACUUGCCCCGAGAUGAGUUCUCCCUGAGACUUUAAGUCUCCUGAAGGAACGUUAAAGACGAUGACGUUGAUAGGCCGGGUGUGUAAGCGCAGCGAUGCGUUGAGCUAACCGGUACUAAUGAACCGUGAGGCUUAACCUU